Molecule: small nucleolar RNA, 135 nt
Organism: Suncus etruscus (white-toothed pygmy shrew)
Lineage: Eukaryota; Metazoa; Chordata; Mammalia; Eulipotyphla; Soricidae
Product: small nucleolar RNA SNORA51
Exons: 1
Source: RefSeq, a predicted model, not a curated record
GGCCUCCCAAUGCUUACCACAGGCUGUGUUCUUUACACGGACUGUAUAAAAAGAGGGGUACAGUAAAUGCUCCCCAUAUACACCUCAGACCAGGCCCUGGGAAUAAUCUCUGCUGUUGGGGGUGUGGUGAAAAAG